Molecule: ribosomal RNA, 308 nt
Filed under: uncultured bacterium
Lineage: Bacteria
Description: partial 16S ribosomal RNA
Rfam family: Bacterial small subunit ribosomal RNA
Source: RNAcentral
AGUGACGCGUGGCGCAUGCUAACACAUGCAAGUCGAACGGCGAGCGACAAGGUAGCAAUAACCGGGUGGCGAGUGGCGGACGGGUGAGUAAUGCAUCGGGAUCUACCCAAACGUGGGGGAUAACGUAGGGAAACUUACGCUAAUACCGCAUACGUCCCAUGGGAGAAAGCGGGGGCUCGCAACACCUCGCGCGGUUGGACGAACCGAUGUGCGAUUAGCUAGUUGGCGGGGUAAUGGCCCACCAAGGCGACGAUCGCUAGCUGGUCUGAGAGGAUGAUCAGCCACACUGGGACUGAGACACGGCCCAG